GACGAACGCUGGCGGCGCGCUUAACACAUGCAAGUCGAACGGAAAGGCCUGCUUUCCCUUGUGGAUUGCGGGUACUCGAGUGGCGAACGGGUGAGUAACACGUGAGUGAUCUGCCCCCAACUUGGGUAUAAGCCUGGGAAACUGGGUCUAAUUCCCGAUAGGACUGCAGGGUGGUGCCUGUGGUGGAAAACGAUUUUCUAGUGGUUGGGGAUGAGCUCGCGGCCUAUCAGCUUGUUGGUGGGGUAAUGGCCUACCAAGGCGGCGACGGGUAGCCGGCCUGGGAGGGUGGACGGCCACAUUGGGACUGAGAUACGGCCCAGACUCCGACGGGAGGCAGCAGUGGGGAAUAUUGCACAAUGGGCGGAAGCCUGAUGCAGCGACGCCGCGUGGGGGAUGACGGCCUUCGGGUUGUAAACUCCUUUCGACCGCGAGGAAGCCACCUGGUUGGAAGGGUGGUGACGGUAGUGGUAGAAGAAGCACCGGCUAACUACGUG
RNAcentral lists this ribosomal RNA (494 nucleotides) under uncultured bacterium. Its description in RNAcentral is "partial 16S ribosomal RNA". It matches the Rfam family "Bacterial small subunit ribosomal RNA", at positions 28 to 507 of the family's 1533-position model. The record is from RNAcentral.